AAUAAAAUGCCUGAGAAAAGGAUUAUUUUGAUAGAAUAAAUUAUGUAUUUAAAAUACUUUUAUUG
Molecule: transfer RNA, 65 nt
Filed under: Parathailocyba orla
Lineage: Eukaryota; Metazoa; Arthropoda; Insecta; Hemiptera; Cicadellidae
Description: tRNA-Ile
Source: RNAcentral